GACGAACGCUGGCGGCGUGCCUAAUACAUGCAAGUAGAACGCUGAAGGAGGAGCUUGCUCUUCUGGAUGAGUUGCGAACGGGUGAGUAACGCGUAGGUAACCUGCCUGGUAGCGGGGGAUAACUAUUGGAAACGAUAGCUAAUACCGCAUAAGAGUAGAUGUUGCAUGACAUUUGCUUAAAAGGUGCAAUUGCAUCACUACCAGAUGGACCUGCGUUGUAUUAGCUAGUUGGUGGGGUAACGGCUCACCAAGGCGACGAUACAAAGCCGACCUGAGAGGGUGAUCGGCCACACUGGGACUGAGACACGGCCCAGACUCCUACGGGAGGCAGCAGUAGGGAAUCUUCGGCAAUGGACGGAAGUCUGACCGAGCAACGCCGCGUGAGUGAAGAAGGUUUUCGGAUCGUAAAGCUCUGUUGUAAGAGAAGAACGAGUGUGAGAGUGGAAAGUUCACACUGUGACGGUAUCUUACCAGAAAGGGACGGCUAACUACGUG
This 495-nucleotide ribosomal RNA is filed under the name uncultured bacterium. Its description in RNAcentral is "partial 16S ribosomal RNA". It matches the Rfam family "Bacterial small subunit ribosomal RNA", at positions 28 to 507 of the family's 1533-position model. The record is from RNAcentral.